GGCCAGACUCCUACGGGAGGCAGCAGUGGGGAAUAUUGCACAAUGGGGGAAACCCUGAUGCAGCGACGCCGCGUGAAGGAUGAAGUAUUUCGGUAUGUAAACUUCUAUCAGCAGGGAAGAAAAUGACGGUACCUGACUAAGAAGCCCCGGCUAACUACGUGCCAGCAGCCGCGGUAAUACGUAGGGGGCGAGCGUUAUCCGGAUUCACUGGGUGUAAAGGGAGCGUAGACGGCCAUGCAAGCCAGGGGUGAAAGCCCGGGGCCCAACCCCGGGACUGCCCUUGGAACUGCAUGGCUGGAGUGCGGGAGGGGCAGGCGGAAUUCCUGGUGUAGCGGUGAAAUGCGUAGAUAUCAGGAGGAACACCGGCGGCGAAGGCGGCCUGCUGGACAUUAACUGACGCUGAGGCGCGAAAGCGUGGGGAGCAAACAGGAUUAGAUACCCCGGUA
This 446-nucleotide ribosomal RNA is filed under the name uncultured bacterium. RNAcentral describes it as "partial 16S ribosomal RNA". It matches the Rfam family "Bacterial small subunit ribosomal RNA", at positions 329 to 792 of the family's 1533-position model. The record is from RNAcentral.